UACGAAGGGGGCAAGCGUUGUUCGGAAUUACUGGGCGUAAAGGGCGCGUAGGCGGCCGAUCAAGUCAGGCGUGAAAUUCCCGGGCUCAACCUGGGGGCUGCGCUUGAUACUGAUUGGCUUGAAUGCGGGAGAGGAUAGUGGAAUUCCCAGUGUAGAGGUGAAAUUCGUAGAUAUUGGGAAGAACACCGAUGGCGAAGGCAAUCCCCUGGACCUGUACUGACGCUCAUGCACGAAAGCGUGGGGAGCAAACAGG
Molecule: ribosomal RNA, 253 nt
Filed under: uncultured bacterium
Lineage: Bacteria
Description: partial 16S ribosomal RNA
Rfam family: Bacterial small subunit ribosomal RNA
Source: RNAcentral